AGAUCUUUAGGUUACGCAAGUUAGUGAGCACGGGCCGAAGGGGUAUAGAUCUACCUUUUGUAUAAUGGAGUGACUAGAAUAAUUAGGGGAUUUUUUUUCCUUGUUCACGAUAGGGGAUGAGCUAGCUGUAUAUUUUUUACUUAAAAAUAUGAGACUAAGGAUAGUUGAUCCUAAGCAUGACCAGACAAGCUUCUAUUUAUGAAUCUUGUUGCAAUAAGGUUCUCAUAAGUACAGUUAGGGGUGAAAGGCUUAACAACUUCCCAAAUAUCUUGAUGCUAACUAAAAGUAUUUAGUACUAUUAUUAUGAUUUAAGACAGUUUUAUAGAGAUUAGCCUCUAGAACGUUCUCUGGAAAAUUAAAUUGAUAUUAGGCUUGGUGGAAGCUAGGCUUAGUUUUUAUUUAACAUUAAACCUAGGUUAAAUUUCAGGUUAGUCCUUAGCUCCCUCUCAUUAAUAUUUUAGGAGGUUAAUAAUGUUAUUAUUAGUAAAUUAGUAAAUACUGUAUUGAGUAAUUAAACUUAAUGAACUCGGCAAAACUUUCUUUCAACUGUUUAUCAAAAACAUAGCCCCCCGCUUAAAAUUAGAGUUUAUGGGGGGUGACCUCUGCUCAAUGAUCUAUUAAGAUUAAAUAGCCGCAGUACCCUGACUGUGCUAAGGUAGCAUAAUCAUUUGGCUUUUAAUUGGAGUCUAGGAUGAAAGGGGCCAAUGGAAGAAGACUGUAUUAGGUUUAAUACUUUGAAGUUGCUUAAUAGGUGAAAAUACCUAUAUAUAUACACAUAGGACGAGAAGACCCUAAGAGUUUUAAUAAAUUUGCAGGGUGAAUUAGAUUUCAUGUUUAGAGAAAAUUAUAAUUUGCCAUUACAUCGUAGAUUUUGCUGGGGCGGCAGGUCUUCAAAUAGGUCUAACAAGAUUUUAAUGUAAGCUAUACGUGUCUAUUUAUAAUCAGCUAGGAUAAACUACCUUAGGGAUAACAGCAUUAUUCUUAUGAGAGAUUGUGACCUCGAUGUUGGACUAGGUACCCUGAUUACCAGAAGUAAUCAGGUUAUGUUCUGUUCGAACACCCGAUACCUACAUGAUCUGAGUUCAGACCGGCGUAAGCNAGGUCAGAUUCUAUCCAUUAUUAAAAGUCAUAUAGUACGAAAGGAAAAAUUAUGGCUAUUUUCUUUAAUUGA
RNAcentral lists this ribosomal RNA (1171 nucleotides) under Cerion incanum. RNAcentral describes it as "16S ribosomal RNA". The stretch from base 776 to 1117 matches the Rfam family "Archaeal large subunit ribosomal RNA", at positions 2152 to 2714 of the family's 2987-position model. Lineage: Eukaryota; Metazoa; Mollusca; Gastropoda; Stylommatophora; Cerionidae. The record is from RNAcentral.